Molecule: ribosomal RNA, 253 nt
Filed under: uncultured bacterium
Lineage: Bacteria
Description: partial 16S ribosomal RNA
Rfam family: Bacterial small subunit ribosomal RNA
Source: RNAcentral
UACGGAGGGCGCAAGCGUUGUUCGGAAUCACUGGGCGUAAAGCGCGUGUAGGCGGCUUGGUAAGUCGGGUGUGAAAGCCCGGGGCCUAACCCCGGAACUGCACUCGAAACUGCCUCGCUCGAGACCCGGAGAGGAUGGUGGAAUUCCCGGUGUAGUGGUGAAAUACGUAUAUAUCGGGAAGAACACCAGCGGCGAAGGCGGCCAUCUGGACGGUGACUGACGCUGAGACGUGAAAUCGUGGGGAGCACACAUG